ACGGAAGUCGACGAUGUGACUAUGAGUGUGGUGCGAAAGAAGAAGACUACUGUUUAGAAGCGAAGAAUGUAAAAUCAGUAACGAUUGUGUGAUAAAAACCAUUUAAUUCGUAACUUUUCGGAAAACCAUUUAGUUUAGCAGAAAAACGGCUAAAAAGCUAGAUUUACAGCGCCCACAGUUUCUAAAAAAAAACAUCCGUUUCGAAAUUAUGCUCUACGUUCUUGAAUUAUAGGUAUUAUAUAUGUUCCUGAGAUCUCGACGUUCAUACGGACAGACGGCCAGACGGACAUGGCCAGAUCGAUUCGGCUACUGAUCCUGAUCAAGAAUAUAACUAUAUACGUUAUAUGUUUGGAGAUGCUUCCUUCUGCCUGUUACAUACUUUUCAACGAAUCUAGUAUACCCUUUUACUCUACGAGUAACGGGUAUAAAUAUAACCAAAUAAUUUAACUGAA
Long non-coding RNA from Drosophila teissieri, 452 nucleotides. RefSeq lists it as uncharacterized. Lineage: Eukaryota; Metazoa; Arthropoda; Insecta; Diptera; Drosophilidae. The transcript is spliced from 2 exons. The record is from RefSeq and is a predicted model, not a curated record.